UAUUCCAUGGUGGCAUUCAUUCAACCCACGGCUUUGGACCCGUGGUGAGUCCCCUGCUUGCUCUGAAUUUGCUAAGCGUAAUAGCUCACUGGUCUAGCUCCAUGGCACUGAAAAUGUAUCAGGGCUCAAGUGAUUCACCGAAGCGACGAGACCUUGAAAGCUGCUUUUUUAAGUGUCAGUAGCGGGACGUUCUGUCAAUCGGGGAAGGUUUUUGGUGACAACACCUGGAGAUAUCAGAAGUGAG
This 244-nucleotide non-coding RNA is filed under the name Gossypium arboreum. Its description in RNAcentral is "Bacterial large subunit ribosomal RNA". It matches the Rfam family "Bacterial large subunit ribosomal RNA", at positions 1117 to 1292 of the family's 2925-position model. Lineage: Eukaryota; Viridiplantae; Streptophyta; Magnoliopsida; Malvales; Malvaceae. The record is from Rfam by way of RNAcentral.